This 67-nucleotide transfer RNA is filed under the name Synendotendipes impar. RNAcentral's name for it is "tRNA-Trp". Lineage: Eukaryota; Metazoa; Arthropoda; Insecta; Diptera; Chironomidae. The record is from RNAcentral.
AAAACUUUAAGUUAAAUAAACUAAUAGCCUUCAAAGUUAUAAAUAAAAAAUAAAUUUUUAAGUUUUA